Molecule: ribosomal RNA, 582 nt
Filed under: Misopates calycinum
Lineage: Eukaryota; Viridiplantae; Streptophyta; Magnoliopsida; Lamiales; Plantaginaceae
Description: eukaryotic LSU rRNA
Rfam family: 5.8S ribosomal RNA (bases 216-371)
Source: RNAcentral
UCGAAACCUGCAAAGCAGACCCGCGAACACGUGUUUAAACCCCGGGCGUCGAGCCGGGAAGGGACGCGAGUCCCUCCCCGUCGAGGCGCCCACGCCUUCGGGCUAACGAACCCCGGCGCGGCACGCGCCAAGGAAAACAACUGAGAAGCGGUUGCCCCCGCUGCCCCGUUCGCGGGUGCCUGCGGGGGAAAUCGACCUAUCUUGAAUGUCAAAACGACUCUCGGCAACGGAUAUCUCGGCUCUCGCAUCGAUGAAGAACGUAGCGAAAUGCGAUACUUGGUGUGAAUUGCAGAAUCCCGUGAACCAUCGAGUCUUUGAACGCAAGUUGCGCCCGAAGCCAUUAGGCCGAGGGCACGUCUGCCUGGGCGUCACGCAUCGCGUCGCCCCCUCCCCCCGUCGGGGGAUGGGGCGGAAAAUGGCAUCCCGUGCGCCCCGCGCGCGCGGCCUGCCCAAAUCCGAUCCCGCGUCGACGGAUGUCGCGACAAGUGGUGGUUGAACUCUCAACUCGCGUGCUGUCGAGACCGUCACCGUUGCACGUUCGGGCAUCGUUUUGACCCAACGGCGCCUAAUCGCGCUUUCGAG